UACAGAGGAUGCAAGCGUUAUCCGGAAUGAUUGGGCGUAAAGCGUCUGUAGGUGGCUUUUUAAGUCCGCCGUCAAAUCCCAGGGCUCAACUCUGGACAGGCGGUGGAAACUACCAAGCUGGAGUACGGUAGGGGCAGAGGGAAUUUCCGGUGGAGCGGUGAAAUGCGUAGAUAUCGGAAGGAACACCAGUGGCGAAAGCGGCUCCCUGGUCCAGCACCGACGUUCAGGCACGAAAGCGUGGGGAGCAAACAGG
This 253-nucleotide ribosomal RNA is filed under the name uncultured bacterium. RNAcentral describes it as "partial 16S ribosomal RNA". It matches the Rfam family "Bacterial small subunit ribosomal RNA", at positions 524 to 776 of the family's 1533-position model. The record is from RNAcentral.